CAGUCGCCGCGGUAAUACGAAGGGUGCAAGCGUUAAUCGGAAUUACUGGGCGUAAAGCGUGCGUAGGCGGUGAGUUAAGUCUGCUGUGAAAUCCCCGGGCUCAACCUGGGAAUGGCAGUGGAUACUGGCUCGCUAGAGUGUGUCAGAGGGGGGUGGAAUUCCGCGUGUAGCAGUGAAAUGCGUAGAUAUGCGGAGGAACACCGAUGGCGAUGGCAGCCCCCUGGGCCAACACUGACGCUCAUGCACGAAAGCGUGGGGAGCAAACAGGAUUAGAUACCCCUGUAGUCCCUGUCUCUUAUAU
Molecule: ribosomal RNA, 301 nt
Filed under: uncultured bacterium
Lineage: Bacteria
Description: partial 16S ribosomal RNA
Rfam family: Bacterial small subunit ribosomal RNA
Source: RNAcentral